UCUCCGCAGAUCCGGGAAGAUGCGGGCGCCCUCCAGGUGGCUCCUGCUGGGCCAGGAGCCAGAGUUAAGUUGUCUAGGUGAUUACAUUGUUGGUUUUGGAUCUAUUUUUUAAAUAUAAGCAUUUAAAGCCUGGCAUGCCCCUCUAAGCACUGCUUUAUUUGCAUUCCACGAAUUUUGCUGAGUGGAUUCCAUUGUGCAUGUACACCCUGGCUUCGCUAUCCAGUCAUCUGCUGUUGGGCAAGUUGGAAGAGUCCAGGGAAGAUGCUCUGUCUGGCAAGCAUUUCUCCUGAUUGGCCAUCAUGUUACCUGGACUCCUGUCAUGUUGUGAUUCUGCCACUUUGAGGGAUAUUUUUUAUAUCAAUAUUUUAAAUCAACUGGACUGGGCUACAGAUUAGGGAAGUGCAACACAGAGAAAUGAAAUGUCGAAGAUCACAGAGCCAGGAAGCCAGAGUCAGGAUCUGAAGCUCUAACUCUUGAAGCCAAGACCCUGGCUUUUCCAACUUGUCUCCUGAUUAAAUACCAAUAAAUGGUAUUGAAGAAGCCACCUGAAAAUAAUGAAGAAUUGGCCAAUGGGAAUGUGUUCAUCCACUUGGGAAUACAGAGUAUUGCUUGAGAGGGAGUGUGGAGAAUGCAGUUUGUAAUUAUCUAGAUUCUGGUGAGACCCAAGUUGAGGAGGCUGAGUGAACCAAUCUACGCUCUUCAUAC
Long non-coding RNA from Talpa occidentalis (Iberian mole), 705 nucleotides. RefSeq lists it as uncharacterized. The record is from RefSeq and is a predicted model, not a curated record. NCBI's taxonomy places the organism in Eukaryota, Metazoa, Chordata, Mammalia, Eulipotyphla, Talpidae. The transcript is spliced from 6 exons.